Molecule: ribosomal RNA, 759 nt
Filed under: uncultured Pseudomonadota bacterium
Lineage: Bacteria; Pseudomonadati; Pseudomonadota
Description: bacterial SSU rRNA
Rfam family: Bacterial small subunit ribosomal RNA
Source: RNAcentral
AUUGAACGCUGGCGGCAGGCUUAACACAUGCAAGUCGAACGGUAACAUAAAGAAGCUUGCUUCUUUGAUGACGAGUGGCGGACGGGUGAGUAAUGCUUGAGAAUCUAGCUUAUGGAGGGGGAUAACUACGGGAAACUGUAGCUAAUACCGCGUAGUAUCGGAAGAUGAAAGUGUGGGACCUUCGGGCCACAUGCCAUAGGAUGAGCCCAAGUGGGAUUAGGUAGUUGGUGAGGUAAAGGCUCACCAAGCCGACGAUCUCUAGCUGGUCUGAGAGGAUGACCAGCCACACUGGGACUGAGACACGGCCCAGACUCCUACGGGAGGCAGCAGUGGGGAAUAUUGCGCAAUGGGGGCAACCCUGACGCAGCCAUGCCGCGUGAAUGAAGAAGGCCUUCGGGUUGUAAAGUUCUUUCGGUAGCGAGGAAGGCGUUUAGUUUAAUAAACUAGGUGAUUGACGUUAACUACAGAAGAAGCACCGGCUAACUCCGUGCCAGCAGCCGCGGUAAUACGGAGGGUGCGAGCGUUAAUCGGAAUAACUGGGCGUAAAGGGCACGCAGGCGGUGACUUAAGUGAGGUGUGAAAGCCCCGGGCUUAACCUGGGAACUGCAUUUCAUACUGGGUCGCUAGAGUACUUUAGGGAGGGGUAGAAUUCCACGUGUAGCGGUGAAAUGCGUAGAGAUGUGGAGGAAUACCGAAGGCGAAGGCAGCCCCUUGGGAAUGUACUGACGCUCAUGUGCGAAAGCGUGGGGAGCAAACAGG